This 2448-nucleotide long non-coding RNA is filed under the name Setaria italica (foxtail millet). Its description in RNAcentral is "long non-coding RNA (SITA_LNC001207)". The record is from RNAcentral. Lineage: Eukaryota; Viridiplantae; Streptophyta; Magnoliopsida; Poales; Poaceae.
AGGCACGGCGACAACCCAUUCCCUCAUGCGCCACGCCAUGCCAUGCCCGAAGGCCAGCACACCUGACACCGUGUGCCAUCCUUCGCCGGCCUUUGCUCAAUCUGUCCUUCUUGAUUGAUUUGAUUUUUCCCUUCUAAUCCCCGUCCAAACCACUGGCACAUUCUAGAGCUGAAGAGCGGCUGCUUGGAAGGUUGUACGGGAUCUCUGGUAGAGGGCAGGGCAGGUGGAUCCGGUAGGGUGCAACUAAGAGCGGAGGGGGAUGGGGCAGGACGGAUCCGACGCGGUGGAGCGAGGUGGCAUAGGGAGGUGCGAAGGAGGCUGCUCGCCGCCAGCCCUGCGCGAUCUCGAGCCCUGACAAUCUCUCCCUUUCAGUCCAGGUAUCUAUCUCUCUCAAUCCUCGGAGGUGCCCAGAUUUCUCUUCUUCGUAGAGUUGGAACUAUACAACACGUUAGACACGAAGAUGCUAGUAUGCCUAUAGCUUUGAUGAACCGGACAUGAUUAUGCAUAUGCCCAUUUUUGAGAGGGAGAAAUAUAAUGUACUUGAUGGAUCAGCAAAUGUACCAACAUAAAAAAAAAUGCCCCGGAGCACUGUAUAUAUCACAAUGGGCUCCAACAGCAGUUGUAUAUCAUAUACUUUUUGCAAAAGUACGCUGUCAAGUGUAAAACCAUGCUACAUCGGCUAGAUUAAGAGUGUUUUCAAUAUUGCUAUAAUUUUUUCUCUCAGAGCCACCAAAUUCUACCUACAACAUCAAAGAUUCUAUUAGCCUUUUAGAUUCCUUUGCACCGCAUAUUGUGUUUAGUCCAUUUAGUUAAACCAGGUCAGUGCCACAUGUACGUUAAAGCAUUAAGAAACAGCUACUUGCUUACACCCUUGUAUUCUUAUGUUAUUCCUUUGUAUGCUUGUAUGUGCUUGUGUAAUCUGUAUAGGAGGACCGCAGUUUGAGGAAUUUGACGGUCAAGGCUUUGAAGACUUCGAGCAGCCGAAGCAAGUCCAGGAAGGCAAGUCAUGCCCUUGAUCACAACAUGAUCCUAUGAAACCUUUACUUUUUAUGUUCAAUACACAUAUGCUAUGCACGUUAAGUUUAUAAACAUGAUGGGUCCUAUUUAAGGUGUGCCUAAUUUUAUUCCCUAUACCUUGAUCAACCUGGGUUACUUUAAUGUUGGGUAGCUCUUGCUUAGUUACUCAACUUGGUUAUCGUGGUAUUAAUAAACCAAUGUUUAACCUUAUUUUAUUUAUGCUAUACCUUUAAUUAAUACAAGAUCACCAUGCUUAAUUGGAACAUGGAGAACCACCCGGGAAACAGUGCAACCACUAGAACUAUAUGGCUCUGGUCUUAGCUAAUUAAUUAGACACUCUAGUUUGAAGCGGUCUUACCGAAAGGGCAAGAGGGGCGGCGGCAGAUGGGGUAUAACCCGGCCCUCAGACUAAUCUGCUCUAUGGUAGCUUCGUUGUCUUGAGAGAGCUUUAUGCUCUGCUACUGAUCCCAAAACAAAAGCGGGGUACUUCUUAUUAGAGAAUCUUUGUAAAGAUCUCGCAGCAUCCCUAUGCAAUCACACCUCGGAAGUGUGAUAUUAUGCCUGGUCCGCACAACAUGGUUGGGUCUAAAGUUCUUCUGAAGUAGGUAAAGAUGUAAAAACCUCUGCAGAGUGUAAAACUGAUCGAUCAGCUAUGCUCACAAUCAAGAGCGGCCUGGACUCUCACAUGAUUAAUUUAUCGAAAGUUAAAUUAAAUUGUUGUUAUUUAUUGUUUUUAUCUUUAUUUAUGUUCAUGCUUAAUGUGGGUGGUAUAAACUUAUACUUAGUAAUUACUAAUAAAACUUGACCAACCAAUUAAAAUGAUGCAUUGCUAUUAAACCAUAGCCUAUCCUUGAAUGGCCUUACACUACACAAUCCUCACGCUUACUGAGUACCAACCAUAAGUGUACUCACCCUUGCUAAAACUGCUGCUAGAACAAGUCAACUUUGAGGAGGUUCUUCAAGACUUUGAAGAGUUCUAGGCAUACAUGUUCCCCCAGUCAACUGCCUGUGGAAUCAUCAUCUUCGUUGGAGUUGUGCUGCUAGAAUAAAGACUCUUUUUGCUAUUCGUAUUAAAGACUAUCGGGUCAUGUAAUAAAUGUAUACUCUCUUUACAUUAUGGUACUAUCUAUGGUAUUUACGAAGUCGUUGCAUGUGUGUAAAUUGAUCCUGGCGUACAUGUGAUUCAUUCAUCUAGUUUUGCCUUCAAAAUUGUGUGUGACAGAAGUGGUACCAGAGCCAUGUUACGCCUAGUUAGAAAAUGGUCAAAUUUAAGGAUUAUAAUGCUUUAGUAGCCAUUCGUACUUAAUGCUUGUUUUAAAUUUGCUUUAAUAAGCUUAUCGUUGCUUUUAUCCCAUCCUUAUUGCUCUACUUGAUCCUUUAUCUAAAUUCAAUUUAUUUUAUUUUCUUUAUCUUUCGAUGGCCCGCACCAAG